UACGAAGGCAGCAGUGGGGAAUAUUGCACAAUGGGCGCAAGCCUGAUGCAGCCAUGCCGCGUGUAUGAAGAAGGCCUUCGGGUUGUAAAGUACUUUCAGUCGUGAGGAAGGUGUUAAGGUUAAUAACCUUAGCAAUUGACGUUAGCGACAGAAGAAGCACCGGCUAACUCCGUGCCAGCAGCCGCGGUAAUACGGAGGGUGCGAGCGUUAAUCGGAAUUACUGGGCGUAAAGGGCACGCAGGCGGUUAUAAGUUGGAUGUGAAUCCCCGGGCUUAACCUGGGAAUGGCAUUCAAGACUGGUUAGCUAGAGUCUUGUAGAGGGGGUAGAAUUCCAUGUGUAGCGGUGAAAUGCGUAGAGAUGUGGAGGAAUACCGGUGGCGAAGGCGGCCCCUGGACAAAGACUGACGCUCAUGUGCGAAAGCGUGGGGAGCAAACAGGGAUUAGAUACC
RNAcentral lists this ribosomal RNA (449 nucleotides) under uncultured bacterium. RNAcentral's name for it is "bacterial SSU rRNA". It matches the Rfam family "Bacterial small subunit ribosomal RNA", at positions 340 to 786 of the family's 1533-position model. The record is from RNAcentral.